GGCCAGACUCCUACGGGAGGCAGCAGUGGGGAAUAUUGCACAAUGGGGGAAACCCUGAUGCAGCAACGCCGCGUGAGUGAAGAAGUAUUUCGGUAUGUAAAGCUCUAUCAGCAGGGAAGAAAAUGACGGUACCUGAGUAAGAAGCCCCGGCUAACUACGUGCCAGCAGCCGCGGUAAUACGUAGGUGGCAAGCGUUGUCCGGAUUUACUGGGUGUAAAGGGCGUGCAGCCGGAGAGACAAGUCAGAUGUGAAAUCCGCAGGCUCAACCUGCGAACUGCAUUUGAAACUGUUUCCCUUGAGUAUCGGAGAGGUCAUCGGAAUUCCUAGUGUAGCGGUGAAAUGCGUAGAUAUCAGGAGGAACACCGGCGGCGAAGGCGGCCUGCUGGACCGUGACUGACGUUGAGGCUCGAGAGCGUGGGGAGCAAACAGGAUUAGAUACCCUCGUAA
RNAcentral lists this ribosomal RNA (447 nucleotides) under uncultured bacterium. Its description in RNAcentral is "bacterial SSU rRNA". It matches the Rfam family "Bacterial small subunit ribosomal RNA", at positions 329 to 793 of the family's 1533-position model. The record is from RNAcentral.